This 77-nucleotide small RNA is filed under the name Xanthomonas vasicola. Its description in RNAcentral is "sX9 sRNA". It matches the Rfam family "Xanthomonas sRNA sX9". Lineage: Bacteria; Pseudomonadati; Pseudomonadota; Gammaproteobacteria; Lysobacterales; Lysobacteraceae. The record is from RNAcentral. RNAcentral also lists the same sequence under 16 other names.
AUGUACCAACUCGCACACUGCAGUUGCUGCGCGCCGGCCACACCUAACUGACAGGUGCUCGCUACGUUGUGUUAGCC